AGAUCUAGACCAUCCCAAAUUGGCUUUGCCAUCGGGGAUUCCCAGUUACGGUAACGCGCGACGUUCAGAAAGAAACUGGACGCAAAAUGAAACCUUUGGGUUCACAAAAUACUGAUUUGUGAUGUAUAAAAUACUGAACCAUAAAGGGUGGGAAGAUCUGAGCGUGACAACUUCGUGUUUGGGGGUGGAGUUUAAUCUAUUCUUCUUGCAAAGCAUGAACAUCACUGGGAAAGUUUGAGGUGAUAAAUAUGAAUGUUUGGAAGUUUAAAUGCAUUUCCUGGCACAAGUUAUUUUCUAGUACAAGUUAUUUUCUAGUACAAGUUAUUGUCUAAACUAACUAUUUGACAAAAGUGGUACCGAGGAGAUUCUGUCCUUAAUUUUAACAUCACUGUUUUCUCUCAUUUCUUUUGCUGCAAAUGUCACUAAAACGCCCUUCAGUGGUUCGUCUGGGUUUUUAAAACGUGGAUUAGGGGAUAUGGAAGAAGUUCUUUCAUCAUCACACAGAUGACCCUUGUGAAUGAGUUGUGGGAUACCUUUGAGAAGGUUGUUCUUUAGAGUUUAAAUGGGAUUAAGUGAUAUGAAAAUCACAGCUACUAAAUCUCAGGCUGGAGUCUGUGUACAAAGGCUGCACUGUUGUGUUUCAUGGAAGUCUGAUGGAAAAACCUGUCUUUGGGAAGUUGUUGCUCUUCAGGACAGAUUGUUCCAUGAGUGUUUCUACCUGUAACUUCUCCUGGCAGUUGCUUUUGAGUAUCAAUGCAUUGGCAGAAAUUGCAGAUGAAUUUUACUGGUGAAAAAUAAUAACCCCAGGGAUUUUGGUUUGGAUUUUUUUUUCUUUAAUAGCAUCAUUGGUUAAAUCACCUUGAUUGUUAUUUCAACUGAUGAGUUAACCAGCAAUAAUUGGUUUAGUUCUCAGGCUGAGAACCUGCACUGUGAGGCUGAUAUAAGCUACAGAAUAUGCCUUCUGGCAAGUAAUAAAGGUGUUUUGUAAUAUAGACACACAACAUCUGUGAAGGAGGGUGUGUUAGAAGAGUAUUUAAUUAAAUUAGUUUGUAGUCUUGCAGAAAUUACAAAUGAUAAUUUGUGCUAAAAUACAGCAAUUUAGAGGCACACAUUAAAUAUUGUUGCUGUCAAAUUUUGCCAAUCCCCUUCCCCUCAUCUACAUCCUCAUCCUGCAGCUGGUUUUGCAGUGGCUUUUGGAGAGAUACAGACAGGGAAGUUUUAAAUAUCAGCAGCUAAAUAGAGCCACGUCUGACCAAUUUAUGUGCAAUUAAUUACCAAGGAAAGCAAGAGAAGUGGUCUUGGUUUUUCAGUGACUGCAGAACCUUUACUCUCACAUAUUUAAAGGUUGCUUUUUCACAUUAAGUUUUCCAAAUAUAACGAAGUGCUUACAGAUGUAGGUCUUCAAGAUUUUCCCCAUCAUGGUGAGGCUUGAAUAGUUGGUUUUCAGGUAAGUUGGAAACCAGAAGUCCUGGCUCUAAGUAGUUUGUACUGGGAAGAUGGUCCCAGGCAGAUAAUAAUUGGAAUUAAAAUUAUUAAUGUAUUAAUAAUUUAUAUUAAAUUUAUCUUACAGAAAGACCUUUGUUUUAAUAAGUUAAGGUUUUUGUCUUAAGUAUUGUGGUCGAUGUUAUUGUAAAUACUUGGUUGUCAUGAAUAAUAGAAUAAUGGGAUCCAUGUGAUUUGCAGGUCAGUGAAGACCCUUGAGUCUUAGAUGAUAAUAUUUCAUAAAUAUUUCAUAAAUAGGAAUAUCUUAGAUGAUAACAUUUCACUAGAAAUCGAUGCAGAGACCUGUUGGAUAAUUUUUAUUCAGAAAAAAAAGUGGUCAGGUUUUUAAGGUACCUCCAGAUAAUUUUCAUUAAAGUGGUCAGGUUUUUAAGGUGCUUCCAAAUGAACCCCUCUGAAUUUGUUAGGAUGUGUGCAUGACACUUGUGUCUAAUUGGCAGUUCUGAGUGAAAGGAAAACGUAUCUCAGGAAAAAAAGAUA
This is a long non-coding RNA of Lepidothrix coronata (blue-crowned manakin), 1980 nucleotides long. RefSeq lists it as uncharacterized. The record is from RefSeq and is a predicted model, not a curated record. Lineage: Eukaryota; Metazoa; Chordata; Aves; Passeriformes; Pipridae. The transcript has 2 exons.